AAGACUAUAGACCUGCGGAGUACCUGCGGAGGGAUCAUUGAUGUAUUACAACUAAUCAUGGUAGCGUUGGUCACGUAUGAUCACAUUGUAUCACUCGCUCGUUCGCUCGUUCAUUCAUUCGUUCAUCCACUCGUUGGAUUGACUGAUCGAUCGAUCGACUGACCCGUGUGUCUAAUGUAAUGUAAUUGACCAACACAUCCAACUAUAUACUAUACUAUUUAUUAUACACUAAUAACAAAC
Molecule: unclassified non-coding RNA, 240 nt
Filed under: soil metagenome
Description: partial contains 5.8S ribosomal RNA, internal transcribed spacer 2, and large subunit ribosomal RNA
Source: RNAcentral